AGUGAACGCUGGCGGUAGGCCUAACACAUGCAAGUCGAACGGCAGCACAGUAAGAGCUUGCUCUUACGGGUGGCGAGUGGCGGACGGGUGAGGAAUACAUCGGAAUCUACUUUUUCGUGGGGGAUAACGUAGGGAAACUUACGCUAAUACCGCAUACGACCUACGGGUGAAAGCAGGGGAUCUUCGGACCUUGCGCGAUUGAAUGAGCCGAUGUCGGAUUAGCUAGUUGGCGGGGUAAAGGCCCACCAAGGCAACGAUCCGUAGCUGGUCUGAGAGGAUGAUCAGCCACACUGGAACUGAGACACGGUCCAGACUCCUACGGGAGGCAGCAGUGGGGAAUAUCGGACAAUGGGCGCAAGCCUGAUCCAGCCAUACCGCGUGGGUGAAGAAGGCCUUCGGGUUGUAAAGCCCUUUUGUUGGGAAAGAAAAGCAGCAGGUUAAUACCCCGCUGUUCUGACGGUACCCAAAGAAUAAGCACCGGCUAACUUCGUG
This 492-nucleotide ribosomal RNA is filed under the name uncultured bacterium. Its description in RNAcentral is "partial 16S ribosomal RNA". It matches the Rfam family "Bacterial small subunit ribosomal RNA", at positions 29 to 507 of the family's 1533-position model. The record is from RNAcentral.